AUACCUAGAUCCAGAAAGUAGAAAUAAUUGACACUCAUAGCCAGUCUCGUGGCCAUGGGUAAAGUCCUCAGUUUUUCACUUGUAUAAAGUUCAUGAAGGGUUAAGAGUGUCAUAACAGAGACCAGCAACUAAGUGAGAAUAUGAUUCUUCUAUGCACAUCUGGCUGACAUGAUUGUCGUGCUCACACAUGAACAGGGCCUAGGAAUGAGGUGGUAUUGCUCCAUAUGCCUGAGACCCUAACAAAAGCCUAAUUACAACUCAUAUGCCUGGAGCCAGGACAUGUGCAGGAUGGUGAUGUAACUUUCCUCUCUGGAAUGGGUCCUGCACAAAGGAAUGAUAGUAACAUAUUGCAAAGCCAGACACACAGCCAUGAUGGUCCAAGUUAUAUUGGGAUUCAGCCAAUAGAAGAUAUUUUGCCUGUCAUCCCUAAGCUUAGGACAAUAGACUCUGCCAAGAGAGGGGAUUAUUACAUAUUGCAGAGCCCAGCACCUAGGUGGAGUGACUCUCAUCUUUUUCUUCUACCCCGUAUAUAGCCAGCUUGGUGACCUACUAUUUGAGUCUAUACCCAGGCCCAGACCACAGAUGAAAUUGUGCAAUAUGUGGAACAAACACCUAAACAAUAUAUAACACCUUCCUUGGCUCUGUCUACAAAGGGCACUUUUAUAUAUCACUGGGACCAUCAACCAGGUGAUGUUAAUUAUCUUCCUGAAACCUGUCUACAAAGAGAGUUGUGUCGUAUACCUAGGCCCGUCAUGUAAGUGAUGUCAGUCCCUUCUACUGCCUUGGCCCUGCACUUACAGUGCAUUGUGACACAUAACAAGGUACUGCACACAGACGAUGUGAUUCUCCUUUUUGGGUUCUGCCAAAAGGAAGCAUUGUAAUAAAUCGCUUGGCUCAGUACCAAGGUGAUGUUUCUUUGCUUUUGCCUGGGCCCUGAUAACAGGGAGAUUGUGAUCUAUUGCUGGGCCCAACAAAAAUGUGAGGUCACUCUCCAGCCGUGGUACUUCACAUAAGCGCCAUUGUGACAUGUAUCUAGGCCAAUUGCCUAGGUGAAGUGAGUUUCCUCUCUUGCCAAAGUCCUGCCCACAGAGGGGGUUUUGAUAUGUCACUGAAAUCAGCAUUCAGGUGAUGUGACUCUUCUGCCAGGGUCCUGCGUACUAGGUGGAUUGUGACAUCUCACUGGACCCGCAACCAUGUAGGUCAUGUGACUUUCAUGCCUUCUCACUGGCCACAGGUGAUGUUGUGCCAUAUAACUGAGACCGUAUCAAAAGCCUAAUAACAAGACGUAUGUCUGGAGCCCCGAUAUGCACAGGAUGGUGAUAUAACCCUCUUCUCUGGAAUGGGCCCCACACAAAGGAAGGAUAGUGACAUAUUGCAAGCCCAGGCACACAGGCCCAGAGCACAGUUGAAAUUGUGACAUAUGUACACCAAGCAACCAAGCAAUGUAUAACACCUCAUUUGGCAAUGGAAUCGAGGGCACUUUUACAUAUCACUGAGACCAGCGCCCAGCUGAUGUGAAAUAUUGGCCUGAACCCUGCCUACAAAAGCAUUGUGGCUUUUAUCUAGCUCCAUUACAUAAGUGAUGUGACUUCCUUCUACUGCCUUGGCCCUGCACUUAUGGUGAAUCGUGACACAAAAUUGGGUAGAGCAACCAGCCUGGGCCCUGACCAGCACAGAGAUUGAGGCAUAUUGCUGAACCCAGGACCAAGAUGAAGUCACUCUCCUGCCUUGAUCCUGCACACAGGGACCCUUGUGACAUAUAUACAGGCCAAUUGCCUAGGUAAAGUUUGUCUCCUCUCCUGCCUAAGCCCUGCCCAUGGGGAGGAUUUAGAUAUAUCACUGAAACCAGCA
Long non-coding RNA from Homo sapiens (human), 1851 nucleotides. Ensembl annotates it as long intergenic non-protein coding RNA 293. The record is from Ensembl. Lineage: Eukaryota; Metazoa; Chordata; Mammalia; Primates; Hominidae.